RNAcentral lists this ribosomal RNA (403 nucleotides) under Metschnikowia gruessii. RNAcentral's name for it is "partial 26S ribosomal RNA". It matches the Rfam family "Eukaryotic large subunit ribosomal RNA", at positions 145 to 562 of the family's 3401-position model. Lineage: Eukaryota; Fungi; Ascomycota; Pichiomycetes; Serinales; Metschnikowiaceae. The record is from RNAcentral.
GUAAUUUGAAGGUUGGGGAAAAAGUAACGUGUUCUUCUAAGUCUAUUGGAAAAUGGCGCCACAGAGGGUGAUAGCCCCGUCUGAUUCAACACAAUACAUAUCUUCCCCCUCCAAAGAGUCGAGUUGUUUGGGAAUGCAGCUCUAAGUGGGUGGUAAAUUCCAUCUAAAGCUAAAUAUUGGCGAGAGACCGAUAGCGAACAAGUACAGUGAUGGAAAGAUGAAAAGCACUUUGAAAAGAGAGUGAAAAAGUACGUGAAAUUGUUGAAAGGGAAGGGCUUGCAAGCAGACACAACUUUUUGUUGGGCCAGCAUCGGGGGAGUAGGAGGCAAAAAGGAGUAGAAAUGUAGCUUCGGUGUUAUAGUCUGCUCUCAUACCUCCCCACCCUCCCGAGGCCUGCGUAUCU